This is a long non-coding RNA of Stylophora pistillata, 653 nucleotides long. NCBI's taxonomy places the organism in Eukaryota, Metazoa, Cnidaria, Anthozoa, Scleractinia, Pocilloporidae. The record is from RefSeq and is a predicted model, not a curated record.
CCCUCUACACUUUUAAAACUUUACCGUUGAAUAUCUUAUCAAAACACAAAGUCUCUGGUGGUUUAAUACUUAAACCGCGAAGUCUGCAACGGAGUUAAGGAUUCUACCGUUUUAUUUUUUUUCUUUUCAUCAACUUAGUGGUAGAAAUGCUAUUUUUUAGUACUGUUUUGUCAUUCACGGCACGUGGUGUUUAUUAUUUGGAAUUUCGAAACGGACAAGUUUAAGAAUUGGCAUUGUAGUUUCAAGGCAAACUGAGGUUUGGAGUCCACUCUUGUUCCUAUGAAAGUUAUUUUGAUGUUUUUGACGCGCGCUCGAGAUGUCAUGGAGGAAUGAAAUAUAUCGACUGAGCUGAGUAAAGCAACUGAAGCGCACGAUGCUCGAGGCAAUGGCGUAAUAUGUCAUGUGGGACCUGGAAAGACAAGUAGUUGGAGAUCUGACUGGAAUUCCAAGAAGCUUUAAAACCGAAUGCCAGAAAUGACUUUGGUAUCUCUGAUCAGCUCCCAUUCCAAACAACUUAGGAAAAGUUAACCACUCUGCUCCAUGAUCUUUGAUUACUUUAAGUGCUUCUUGUAACAUUGGCCUCUGCACUUGUUUGUGAAAAUGGUCAAUAGCUGCUGGGUCUUUCAAUGACAUCUUUACCUGUUGUGAUGUUA